Long non-coding RNA from Myotis davidii, 860 nucleotides. RefSeq lists it as uncharacterized. The record is from RefSeq and is a predicted model, not a curated record. Lineage: Eukaryota; Metazoa; Chordata; Mammalia; Chiroptera; Vespertilionidae. The transcript has 5 exons.
GAGGGCCACUGUGCGGGGAGAGGGGCUCCUGAGCACGCGCGCGGAGACGAGACUGUGGGAACUCUCGCGAGAUCUCCUGGUGCUUUAUGUGGACGCCGAGGACCCGCGUCCUUUCCCGGGUGCGGUUCCAUCGUGCAUCACAGAAGCCGUUUCUCUCCGCCUGCCUUCUCUCUCACCUGAAUGCGUGCUACCGCCCCCUGGGAGAUUGUGUGGACAUGGACAGGAGCCCUCUGGGGCCCUAGAACUGCCUUUUCGGUUGUGAACUAAAAGCCGACAAAGAUUAUCACUUUAAGGUGGAUAAUGAUGAAAAUGAGCACCAAUUAUCUUUACAAACGGUCAGGUUAGGGGCCGGUGCAAAGGAUGCAAAGUGGACAGCACUUAGUAGCUGUGGAGGAAGAUGCAGUCAGAAGAUGAUGAGGAGGAGGAUGUGAAACUCAUGUCUGGAAAGCGUUCUGCCCCUGGAGAUGGUAGCAAGGUUCCGCAGAAAAAAGUAAAACUUGCUGCUGAUGAAAAUGAUGAGGACGAUGAUGAUGAGGAUGAUGAUGAUGAAGAGUAAGUAUGGAUUCAGAAGCUUGAUGAGGUUGUAUGGGGGGUUUUAAGAAAAUUUUUUUCUAAAAUCGUCCUGUGGAAUUGAGUAAUAGCUUUAAAUAAAGAGUAAAUGGUCAGUGGUUGUCAUUUGGGUUAAAUGAGCCAAGUUAAAGGACACUGUUGGAACUAGGAACCUUUAAAGUGCUUCAGUGUAUUGAGAAUUUUCAGAACUAUUUCCCUGAUGUGUUUGACUAGGUACCGCAAGCAUGUCAAACUCGCGGCCCAUGGGCCACAUGCAGCCCACAACAAAUAUUUUUGCGGCCCAGCCAAUA